GGCGUUAUCGUAUAGUGGUUAAUACGUUAGCCUAACAAGCUAAAGAUCUUCGGUUCGAAUCCGAAUAACGCUA
RNAcentral lists this transfer RNA (73 nucleotides) under Lotharella oceanica. RNAcentral's name for it is "tRNA-Val". It matches the Rfam family "tRNA". Rfam says of the family: Transfer RNA (tRNA) molecules are approximately 80 nucleotides in length. Lineage: Eukaryota; Cercozoa; Chlorarachniophyceae. The record is from RNAcentral.